GUGGGGAAUCUUAGACAAUGGGGGCAACCCUGAUCUAGCCAUGCCGCGUGAGUGAUGAAGGCCUUAGGGUCGUAAAGCUCUUUCGCUGGGGAAGAAAAUGACGGUACCCAGUAAAGAAACCCCGGCUAACUCCGUGCCAGCAGCCGCGGUAAUACGGAGGGGGUUAGCGUUGUUCGGAAUUACUGGGCGUAAAGCGCGCGUAGGCGGAUUGGAAAGUUGGGGGUGAAAUCCCGGGGCUCAACCCUGGAAUGGCCUUCAAAACUCCCAGUCUUGAGGUCGAGAGAGGUGAGUGGAAUUCCGAGUGUAGAGGUGAAAUUCGUAGAUAUUCGGAGGAACACCAGUGGCGAAGGCGGCUCACUGGCUCGAUACUGACGCUGAGGUGCGAAAGCGUGGGGAGCAAACAGGAUUAGAUACCCCAGUAGUCC
Molecule: ribosomal RNA, 425 nt
Filed under: uncultured bacterium
Lineage: Bacteria
Description: bacterial SSU rRNA
Rfam family: Bacterial small subunit ribosomal RNA
Source: RNAcentral